This 387-nucleotide ribosomal RNA is filed under the name uncultured bacterium. Its description in RNAcentral is "bacterial SSU rRNA". It matches the Rfam family "Bacterial small subunit ribosomal RNA", at positions 790 to 1167 of the family's 1533-position model. The record is from RNAcentral.
GUAGUCCACGCCCUAAACAAUGUGCACUAGAUCGCGGGAGGUAUUGACGCCUUUCUCGGUCGAAGUAAAAACGUUGAGUGCACCGCCUGGGGAGUACGGUCGCAAGGCUAAAACUCAAAGGAAUUGACGGGGGCUCACACAAGCGGUGGAGCAUGUGGCUCAAUUCGAAGCAACGCGAAGAACCUUAUCCUAGGUUUGACAUGCAUGGAUUAGUCCGUGGAAACAUGGAUGACACUCUCGUAGUGGAACAUGCACAGGUGCUGCAUGGCUGUCGUCAGCUCGUGCUGUGAAGUGUCGGGUUAAGUCCCUUAACGAGCGAAACCCCUAUUACUAGUUGCCAACGCGUUAUGGCGGGGACUCUAGUGAGACUGCCGGUGUUAAACCGGA